CUCAGGCUGCUCGAAUUCGAGCUCGAAAGUCCGCGGUACCGUCGCAGUUUAUCGCCGAAUUCGAGUGACGGCUUCAUCUUCGACUGUGGCACCGACCGCGGGAAGGAUUUAUCUUGGCCGAGCGACUUCGGAAGAAGUACUUGUACCUAGACGUCCGUUUCGCCUUCUACAACUCCAUCGACGCCGGAAGCCCGUCGUCAACGUCUUCGUCAACUCCUGUACUGCACCGACGUUUCCGACAUCGCCGUCGACCACCUGUGCCAUCAGCGAUUGUGGAUGUGCUGAUUGCAACGAGUGUUUUUGUGAAGAGUGUACCAACUUCUCUCCUCGCCAAGG
Long non-coding RNA from Lolium rigidum, 336 nucleotides. RefSeq lists it as uncharacterized. The transcript has 3 exons. The record is from RefSeq and is a predicted model, not a curated record. Lineage: Eukaryota; Viridiplantae; Streptophyta; Magnoliopsida; Poales; Poaceae.